AAUAUGAUAUGAAGUGUUUCGGAAUGGUCGACAUUCCUAGUGUUAUGGUUAUGGACCGGGAGCAAACACUCUAUGUUUUGAGUCACCUAGCAUUGCUGGGAGGAACUUGUAUACCAAGAUUUAGAGAAGUUUCUGUUUUAAGUGUACAAUAGAUUCUUUUCAUUCUUCUUUUACUGUUGCAGGUCCAAUAUGUAUAUAUAAUAUAGGGGCAAGUUCUGUUUUGGUUCUGCAACUUCAAUUAAUUAUGUUGUUCUCUUUAAAUUAACUUUUGUUUAAUUUACUUUUGUUAAGAGAUAGUAGUUCCUAUCUAUGUUUUGUGCAGUUUCUAUUAGUGCGGGUCUGUUUCACUUCACGUUGUGAGGUCAUUACAAAAUCUUUUUAUUUUUCCAUGCUUCGUUGGACUUUGUCAAGGCUUGUCCCGGAAGAUAUUUGUACAGAUAGAGGCCCCGAUAUCAAGAGUUUGUGACCUCGACACUUAUUCUCCAUUCGCUUUUGAACCCUUCUUCAUGCCAACCAAGAAUAAGAUAUUGGAUGCAAUAUAAUUAA
Molecule: long non-coding RNA, 546 nt
Organism: Vicia villosa (hairy vetch)
Lineage: Eukaryota; Viridiplantae; Streptophyta; Magnoliopsida; Fabales; Fabaceae
Exons: 3
Source: RefSeq, a predicted model, not a curated record